GGUUUGAGAAUUAUGGUAAGCAAGGACAGUUGUGUGGAUCAGAUGGCUUGCCUCACUUGAUCGUGAGUGGGGAUUGGAGACACGGGGGUGAGUUCAUCACCCCUGGAAUUCUUUUCCUAUACAUUUCUGGAUGGAUUGGGAGGAGUUGAUUGCCAUCAGGGAUGACAAGAAACCGACUCAGAACGAGAUUAUCAUCGACGUUCCAUUGGCCAAAAAGCUUAUCUGGGGAGGCUUCAUCUGGCCAGUGGCUGCCUAUGGAGAGUACUUGAAUGGGGAACUCAUUUCAGGACAUUGUAUGCGAAGUUCGAGGACCGAUGAUCUUACUCAAUUUGACUUGAAAAUCGAACGAACAUUCAACCUUCGGAGAAGACAACAGUUGGAAACACACCAAAAAGAAAAAAAAGAAAUAAAUGGCAAAUGAAAAUCUGAAUCAAAUAGCCACUGGGGCUACUCUAAGAGCCGCACACCGAAUUUAGAUAUAGCUAAUGAAAACGUGAGGCUCAUGGUUGAAUAUAUGAUUUUACUAGUCGUGAAAAGCCAAUCUAGUGUUAUAUAUCCGGUGUUUGGUUAAGUAAACUUCCACCUGAGAACAGAUGUUAUCAACAUGUUCCAAAAUGCUCUACUAUUCUUUGGAAGAGCUACGGAGAAUCUCAAGACUCAUAUAUCAAGAUUUCUGGACAUAUCUUCAACUAUCAAAUAUCCAGGGAUGUUAAGCGAAGCUAUCAGACUAAGGCUCUAUCCAUACACAUUGAGAGACUCAGUAAGGGAGUACUUAGACACUUGUCCACCGCAGAGCAUCACUACAUAGAACCAACUGAGUCAGAAAUUCCUUAGAAAAGGAUUGCAAAGCUAACGAAUGAGAUUACUACUUUCCAACAACAAGAUUCAGAAUGCUAUUCAGAGGCCUGGGAACAAAUACAAAGGUUUACUUCGGUAAUGCUUACAACUUGGAUUGCAGAAGUGGUUUCAGGUGCAAUACUUGUACAUUGGUCUGAAUCCAAUUAGUAGGGCAAACGUAGACUUUGCAUGCCACGGUUCUAUCACAAAAAGAACCACGGAUCAGGUCUACCAAAUCAUAGAGGAUUUGGCAUUCACCAGUGCACUUUGGCCUACUGAAAGGAGAGUAGAAAGAAAGCUACUGGGGUAUUCGAAAUUGAUUCUUUAACAGCAAUUUCAGCACAAUUGGCAUCAUUGGCAAAGAAGGUAGAUUAGAUGAACACGACCCAACUAGUGGGACCGAGAUGCAAACAUUGUGGAAAGAGCCACGAGAUUGUUGACUAUGUUACUUAUGAUUUCCUUUUGCUCAGACAGUAGAAGAUGUGAACUACACUCAAAACUUUUAAAGGUAACAGUACAAUCUAAAUUCUAAUACCUAUUACCCAGGCUGGAGUAAUCACUUAGGCUUUCAAUGGAGUAAUAAUCAGGAAGCUCAGAUCGUGCCAUAAUAGACCGUACCACCCGAAAUUUAGUAGAAUGAGAAGAAGUUUUCACUAGAAGGUUUGUGACUAAAUUAGUAGAAAUAUCCACUCAACACAUCCAAAGAAUGGAUAAAACCUUGCAAGUUCAAAGAGUUGCCAUCAAGAAUUUGGAAAAUCAGAUGAGACAAAUAGUAAAAGUACUUUCAGAGAAACUACAUGAAGCAUUCCCAGUGAUACAAAGACAAAUCCCAAACAGUAGGUAAUGGUAAUGAAGGUUGUGGUUGAAGAGCAUAUUGAGGCAAUAACUACCUGUAGUGGAGUUUAACUGCCAGAUAUUAAUAUAAAGAGACUAGUUGCUACAAAUGAAAAAGUACAUACGACGUUUGAGGAACAAUUGAAGGAAUUUGAGAAGAACAAAGAAGCAAUAAUAGAAAGAGCAUCAAAGGACCCAAAGUUUAAGGAAAUCGUUCUUACUAAAGAAUUUGUGCUGCCACUACUUUUUUCACAAAGACUACAAAAGAGAAAACUCGAUGAUCAAUUCGAGAAGUUCCUGAAUAUGCUGAAAAAGCUCCAUAUCAACAUCUCUUUCAUUGAUGCAAUUUGUCAGACCCCGAUGUAUGCAAAGUUCUUGAAAGAUAUGAUAUCUAAGAAAAGAAAGCUUCCAGACUAGGAAGAAGUGGCAUUAACCGAGGAGAGCAGUGCAAGGCUUAAAAUAAAUUGCCCCCAAAACUAAGGACCUAGGAAGUUUCAUUUUACCUAUCUCACUAGGCAAAGGAUUUUAUUUUAAUGCUUUAUGUGAUAUAGGUGCAAAUGUAAAUUUAAUGUCUUCGUCUACUUUCAGGAAACCAGGAGUUAGUGAAGUCAGAUGAUCGAAUGUGACAUUGCAGUUGGUAGAUAGGAGCAUCAGAUACCCUUGGGGCAAGAUUGAGGAUGUGCUCAUCAAGGUUGGGAAGCUGAUAUUUCCCGCGGACUUCUUUGUUAUGAACCUCGAAGACGACCAAGAUAUGCUAAUAAUAUUAAGUUGACCCUUUUUAGCAACAAAUCGAACCUUGAUUGACAUGGAGAAGGGUGAGCUAACUGUGAGGGUGGAGGAUGCACAUGAGAUCUUUAAACUAUAUAAUCGAUUGAAGCAACCAUUAGUAUUGGAGGAUGUCAAAUAUGUUGCUAAAGAAGUGGAACAAGGCUCGAAGAAGACAGAGCCUAAACAUCUAGGAAGCCUUAGAUGAAAGGAGAAUGGAGAGUUCAAGGUUUGGAGGGCAAAAAGAGGACGUAAAGCUGAAAAUUGCGAGUGUAAGGUUGCAAGAUUCCAGUGUGAACUACCACAAUCAAUCCCUCUAUAUAGUCUAGCUAAAAACUAUAAACUAAGCGCUCAUUGAGAGGCAGUGCAAUUUUUCUUUUAUUUAUUUUGCUUUUUGCACCGCAUUGGAUGUAGAUUUAUUUUGAUUAUUAGUUUGCAUUAGAUUUAAGCACGUUUAAAUUUAUAAGGUAUUACCAUCCUAUUGUGUUUCCUCUUUGGCCCUUAAAUUUAUUGGUGGUUACUUCGAUUUUUUGGGCUAAGUAACACAUGUUCCAGGUUAUUUGUUCUUGAAUGUUUAGUUUGACUGUUAUGUGCAUGAAUAUGACGUCGUGAAACACUCAAACCAACAUAGGCCAAGAGAAAAGUAGGAUUAUCUAGUCGUCACCCAUAGUGCCUCACACAUUCAACAUACAAAUUUGUGGAGUACAUUCUUAAUUCUUACUUUUGCUUUAGGACAUUGAAAGACAAUGUCAGUUUUGAGUUUGGGGUGGAAAAUGCUUCGAGUAUUUUUGUGUGUUUGUUUUAGAAUACAAAUAAAUAAAUAGAUUCUUUUUUAUUAGGUUGUGUGUUUAUGUGGGUUAGACAGCCUAGCCGACAAUGAUGAUUUAAUUUGAGAUUUGAUGUCUGUUUAUGAACUAUGGAUAAGAUACAUGCUAAAUUGAUUAAAACUUAACUUUGCAGAAGUUGAUAUUAUACACGCACAAGAAUUGAGUUUUACAUCAUGAUACAAUUAGUUGAUUCAUAUGCUGAAUAGGUUGGAAGCUUGAAUAUGGAUGCCAAACCCAAACCAUACUAAAUUAUUUAUUCUUAGACCGAAUUUAGCACAGUUUGGAAGUAGGCUUACUGUUGUAGGAAAAUACAAAUGUGAAUGUAGAUUCUUUUGUGAAAAGCCAUGUGGAUUAUCUUAGACUAACAAGAUUAAAUUGGGCAAAAUUCUUAAAUUGGAAGUUGAUUUGCUCGAACAGGUGUGUGAAAAGGAGCAUUGCAUUAAUCAAGACAUAUAAUUUUUAAAACUUCUCAUUGAAACUUUUAUGACUCGAGUUAUUAAGUCUGUAAGGGUAUCUCAAAAUCAGAAAAACUAAGUGCAUAAGAAGAAUAGAAGCAAUAAAUGCUUUGAUUAAACCCUAACGCUUCUUUAAGCAAAUUUGACUUUCAAUGAAAGACAAUUAGCCUAGUCGAGCCUUGGCAGUCGAAACGAUCAAAUAAUUGGACACUGCCGACACCACCUCAGGGUUUUUGGGCAUUCUAAGUUCAUUGGAGGUGGUCCUAUUUCCAAAUUCUGACCAGAAAUGGGAGUUUCAUCUGCAUUGGAGUGCGAGCCAACAUUUUUUUGAUUGUAGAUCCAAUGCAUUCGGGGCUGUAGUUGCUGCUGAUAUUGUAGGAGCAUGUUUGGGUGUUGUUCAUGGCUUAUUUUCACCCCUUGUCAUUGAAGAAUCCAGUGGUUUUGUUGGUGGAUCGACGGUAUUGGAAUUUGUGGUUUUUUCUCCCAUUCUAGAGAGAUGGGAGAGCUUUUUAGAGAGAGUAGUUACAGGUACGAUUUAAUCGUAUUUAAAAGUUAUUGUCCAAAGAGGUCGCAACAGUUAACAAUGGACAAUUUCACUUUAGUCCUCUUGUUGUCAUGAGUCCUAAUCAGUUGAUAAAUCUUCUUACUUUCUGCAUUUUAAUUGUUCUUGAAAUGUAUCUGUAACUUAUUUUUCUCCAACAAUGUUAAUACUCAUUGGACUACAAAGAGAGCAAUCUUACAGGAAAAGUAGAUCUUGGCUCUUCUGAGCUUACAUUACGAGGCUAGUACUCAGCCAGUGGGACAAGCUUCCAUAUAGAAGGAAUUAAUAUAGAAAAUCCGAUUUGUGUCAUCUUUUUUGAUUUCUCCUGCUCCUUCAGCCAUGAUGGACUGUCCGUUAUAUCCCUCCUGUGCCGCUU
Long non-coding RNA from Olea europaea var. sylvestris, 4635 nucleotides. RefSeq lists it as uncharacterized. The transcript is spliced from 3 exons. Lineage: Eukaryota; Viridiplantae; Streptophyta; Magnoliopsida; Lamiales; Oleaceae. The record is from RefSeq and is a predicted model, not a curated record.